RNAcentral lists this transfer RNA (74 nucleotides) under Candidatus Buchananbacteria bacterium. RNAcentral describes it as "tRNA-Arg". It matches the Rfam family "tRNA". From Rfam's summary of the family: Transfer RNA (tRNA) molecules are approximately 80 nucleotides in length. Their secondary structure includes four short double-helical elements and three loops (D, anti-codon, and T loops). Lineage: Bacteria; Candidatus Buchananiibacteriota. The record is from RNAcentral.
GCGCCCGUAGCUCAAUCGGAUAGAGCGUUUGGCUUCGGACCAAAAGGUUAAAGGUUCGAGUCCUUUCGGGCGCG